Molecule: long non-coding RNA, 245 nt
Filed under: Paramuricea clavata
Lineage: Eukaryota; Metazoa; Cnidaria; Anthozoa; Malacalcyonacea; Plexauridae
Source: RNAcentral
CUCCCCUUUACUACUAGAAGUUGCUGUAAAAUAUAAGAUCUGAUAACAGGCGUGAUAUCAAUUCCUUGACCAUCAAAAGGUGUAAAAUCUUCCGUUCUUUUUUCGUCCCUGAUCACGUAGCUAAUAAAUUUUCGAACUAGAUCUGGAUUUGGCAACUGCUCUCCAAAGCAAUACACAGACACAAGCUCCAUAAAAAAUGACUUGCAACGGUUACGAAAACUGUUGCAGAUCUCAAGAGCACGACU